This 374-nucleotide ribosomal RNA is filed under the name Nematoda sp. RNAcentral describes it as "SSU rRNA". It matches the Rfam family "Eukaryotic small subunit ribosomal RNA", at positions 252 to 626 of the family's 1831-position model. The record is from RNAcentral. Lineage: Eukaryota; Metazoa; Nematoda.
CUGAAUAACUACGCUGAUCGCACGGUCUCGAACCGGCGACAUAUCCUUCAAGUGUCUGCCUUAUCAACUGUCGAUGGUAGUUUACAUGACUACCAUGGUUGUAACGGGUAACGGAGAAUAAGGGUUCGACUCCGGAGAGGGAGCCUGAGAAACGGCUACCACAUCCAAGGAAGGCAGCAGGCGCGCAAAUUACCCACUCUCAGAACGAGGAGGUAGUGACGAAAAAUAACGAGAUAGUUCUCUAUGAGGUCUAUCAUCGGAAUGGGUACAAUCUAAACCCUUUAACGAGGAUCUAUUGGAGGGCAAGUCUGGUGCCAGCAGCCGCGGUAAUUCCAGCUCCAAUAGCGUAUAUUAAAGUUGUUGCGGUUAAAAAG